RNAcentral lists this ribosomal RNA (782 nucleotides) under uncultured Actinomycetes bacterium. RNAcentral describes it as "bacterial SSU rRNA". It matches the Rfam family "Bacterial small subunit ribosomal RNA", at positions 556 to 1340 of the family's 1533-position model. The record is from RNAcentral. Lineage: Bacteria; Bacillati; Actinomycetota; Actinomycetes.
GGGCGUAAAGAGCUUGUAGGUGGCUUGUCGCGUCUGCCGUGAAAACCCGAGGCUCAACCUCGGGCGUGCGGUGGGUACGGGCAGGCUAGAGUGUGGUAGGGGAGACUGGAACUCCUGGUGUAGCGGUGAAAUGCGCAGAUAUCAGGAAGAACACCGAUGGCGAAGGCAGGUCUCUGGGCCAUUACUGACACUGAGAAGCGAAAGCAUGGGUAGCGAACAGGAUUAGAUACCCUGGUAGUCCAUGCCGUAAACGUUGGGCACUAGGUGUGGGGGACAUUCCACGUUUUCCGCGCCGUAGCUAACGCAUUAAGUGCCCCGCCUGGGGAGUACGGCCGCAAGGCUAAAACUCAAAGGAAUUGACGGGGGCCCGCACAAGCGGCGGAGCAUGCUGAUUAAUUCGAUGCAACGCGAAGAACCUUACCAAGGCUUGACAUGCACCGGACGGUCGCAGAGAUGUGGCUUUCUUCGGACUGGUGCACAGGUGGUGCAUGGUUGUCGUCAGCUCGUGUCGUGAGAUGUUGGGUUAAGUCCCGCAACGAGCGCAACCCUUAUAAUUAGUUGCCAGCAUUCAGAUGGGGACUCUAAUUAGACUGCCGGUGAUAAACCGGAGGAAGGUGGGGAUGACGUCAAAUCAUCAUGCCCCUUAUGACCUGGGCUACACACGUGCUACAAUGGAUGAUACAACGAGCAGCAAACUCGCGAGGGUAAGCGAAUCUCUGAAAGUCAUUCUCAGUUCGGAUUGUUCUCUGCAACUCGAGAACAUGAAGCCGGAAUCGCUAGUA